AAGACUAUAGACCUGCGGAGUACCUGCGGAAGGAUCAUUACAGAGUUGCAAAACUCCCAAACCACUGUGAACAUACCCGUACCGUUGCCUCGGCGGGCGGCCCCAGGGCGGGGCCGCAGCCUCCUAGCGGAGGCGCCCGCCGCAGGCCACAGCAACUAUGCUUAUCCACUGGCCCCUCUGAGUACACCACAAACAAUUAAAACUUUUAGCAACGGAUCUCU
RNAcentral lists this unclassified non-coding RNA (221 nucleotides) under soil metagenome. RNAcentral's name for it is "partial contains 5.8S ribosomal RNA, internal transcribed spacer 2, and large subunit ribosomal RNA". The record is from RNAcentral.